GGGGAUAUGGCGAAAUUGGUAGACGCUACGGACUUAAAAUCCGUCGACUUUAGAAAUCGUGAGGGUUCAAGUCCCUCUAUCCCCAACAAAAAGCCCAUUUGAC
RNAcentral lists this transfer RNA (103 nucleotides) under Paris luquanensis. RNAcentral describes it as "tRNA-Leu". The stretch from base 1 to 85 matches the Rfam family "tRNA". Rfam says of the family: Transfer RNA (tRNA) molecules are approximately 80 nucleotides in length. Their secondary structure includes four short double-helical elements and three loops (D, anti-codon, and T loops). Further hydrogen bonds mediate the characteristic L-shaped molecular structure. tRNAs have two regions of fundamental functional importance: the anti-codon, which is responsible for specific mRNA codon recognition, and the 3' end, to which the tRNAs corresponding amino acid is attached (by aminoacyl-tRNA synthetases). tRNAs cope with the degeneracy of the genetic code in two manners: having more than one tRNA (with a specific anti-codon) for a particular amino acid; and 'wobble' base-pairing, i.e. permitting non-standard base-pairing at the 3rd anti-codon position. The record is from RNAcentral. Lineage: Eukaryota; Viridiplantae; Streptophyta; Magnoliopsida; Liliales; Melanthiaceae.